This is a non-coding RNA of Triticum aestivum (bread wheat), 125 nucleotides long. The record is from Rfam. Lineage: Eukaryota; Viridiplantae; Streptophyta; Magnoliopsida; Poales; Poaceae.
CAGGUACUCCCUCCGUCCAGAAAUACUUGUCUGGAGAAUGGAUAUAUCUAGAUGUAUUUUAGUUCUAGAUACAUCCAUUUGUACCCAUUUCUACGACAAGUAUUUUCAGACAGAGGGAGUAUAAC